GGUGAUGAUUGAGUGGUGGUAAUACCCGGCUCCAUUCCGAACCCGGAAGUCAAGCGCCACUUCGCCGAUGAUACUGCAGCCGACGGUUGUGGGAAAGUAGGGCGUUGCC
RNAcentral lists this ribosomal RNA (109 nucleotides) under Campylobacterota bacterium. Lineage: Bacteria; Pseudomonadati; Campylobacterota. The record is from RNAcentral.